Molecule: ribosomal RNA, 253 nt
Filed under: uncultured bacterium
Lineage: Bacteria
Description: partial 16S ribosomal RNA
Rfam family: Bacterial small subunit ribosomal RNA
Source: RNAcentral
UACGAAGGGGGCUAGCGUUGUUCGGAAUUACUGGGCGUAAAGGGCGCGCAGGCGGCCCUUGAAGUCAGGCGUGAAAGCCCCGGGCUCAACCUGGGAGGUGCGCUUGAUACUCGAGGGCUUGAGUGCGGGAGAGGAGAGUGGAAUUCCCAGUGUAGAGGUGAAAUUCGUAGAUAUUCGGAAGAACACCAGUGGCGAAGGCGGCUCACUGGCCCGUUACCGACGCUCAGGCGCGACAGCGUGGGGAGCAAACAGG